This 357-nucleotide transfer-messenger RNA is filed under the name Caryophanaceae. Its description in RNAcentral is "Solibacillus sp003073375 Standard tmRNA". It matches the Rfam family "transfer-messenger RNA". From Rfam's summary of the family: Bacterial tmRNA, also known as 10Sa RNA or SsrA, is named for its dual tRNA and mRNA-like properties. Its role is to liberate the mRNA from a stalled ribosome. RNAcentral also lists the same sequence under 2 other names. Lineage: Bacteria; Bacillati; Bacillota; Bacilli; Caryophanales. The record is from RNAcentral.
GGGGACGUUACGGAUUCGACAGGGGUGGUUCAAGCUCUGGUCGCGCGUCGGAGGUCUCGUCUUCGUCAUCAACGGAAGUUAUAUAAUAACUGGCAAACAACAAAACUUAGCUUUCGCAGCGUAAGCUCGUAAGCGCUCUGUCUAUCCAUCGCCCAUGUGGAUAAUCGCAGGGCCUAACUUAAGUGGGAUACGGUCGGUGGUGCCACUUGAGUCACCGACAAGAGAUUUCCAAGUUAGCGUACAAGACGCCUGUUUACCGGCAUAAUGUUACGCGAAUUGCAAAUAGGUAGACUACACGCGUAGAAGCCGGCGUAUUGGAGCUUCUGGACGCGGGUUCGAAUCCCGCCGUCUCCAUUU